Molecule: ribosomal RNA, 770 nt
Filed under: Haloarcula sp. BAB-2987
Lineage: Archaea; Methanobacteriati; Methanobacteriota; Halobacteria; Halobacteriales; Haloarculaceae
Description: bacterial SSU rRNA
Rfam family: Archaeal small subunit ribosomal RNA
Source: RNAcentral
UUUUCCGGUUUGGAUCCUGCCGGAGGCCAUUGCUAUCGGAGUCCGAUUUAGCCAUGCUAGUUGCACGAGUUUAGACUCCGUAGCAUAUAGCUCAGUAACACGUGGGCCAAACUACCCUACAGACCGCGAUAACCUCGGGAAACUGAGGCCAAUAGCGGAUAUAACUCUCAGGCUGGAGUGCCGAGAGUUAGAAACGUUCCGGCGCUGUAGGAUGUGGCUGCGGCCGAUUAGGUAGAUGGUGGGGUAACGGCCCACCAUGCCGAUAAUCGGUACAGGUUGUGAGAGCAAGAGCCUGGAGACGGUAUCUGAGACAAGAUACCGGGCCCUACGGGGCGCAGCAGGCGCGAAACCUUUACACUGCACGACAGUGCGAUAGGGGGACUCCGAGUGUGAGGGCAUAUAGCCCUCGCUUUUUCUGUACCGUAAGGUGGUUCAGGAACAAGGACUGGGCAAGACCAAGUGCCAGACCGCCGCGGUAAUACCGGCAGUCCAAGUGAUGGCCGAUAUUAUUGGGCCUAAAGCGUCCGUAGCCUGCUGUGUAAGUCCAUUGGGAAAUCGACCAGCUCAACUGGUCGGCGUCCGGUGGAAACUACACAGCUUGGGGCCGAGAGACUCAACGGGUACGUCCGGGGUAGGAGUGAAAUCCUGUAAUCCUGGACGGACCACCAAUGGGGAAACCACGUUGAGAGACCGGACCCGACAGUGAGGGACGAAAGCCAGGGUCUCGAACCGGAUUAGAUACCCGGGUAGUCCUGGCUGUAAACAAUGCU